GGACCUAGGGAGUUCAGGUACAGCGAGCUCGCCGCCGCGACGGACAACUUCGUAGAGGAGAGGAAGAUUGGGAGAGGGGGAUUCGGUCCGGUGUACAGAGGCUACUUGACUGGUCACGACCGUCAUGUGGCCAUCAAGAUGCUCUCAGAGGAUCAAUCUGUGCAGGGCCGCCUGAAGGAGUUUCAGGCAGAGGUCACCAUAAUGAGCCAGCUGAGGCACCGCAACAUCGUCCACCUCGUCAGCUGGUGCGGUCGCCGGAGAGAACUGGCGCCUGUCUACGAGCUCAUGCCCGGAGGCAGCCUCGACACGCACCUCUAUAACCCUGACCGGACGAUAACUUGGUCUGAGAGGUACAAGAUCGCGCUGGGGCUGGGCUCCGCGUUGCGGUACCUCCGCACAGAGUGCGAGCAGUGCGUGGUGCACGGGGACAUCAAGCCUGCAAACGUGAUGCUCGGCGCGUCGCGCAACGCCAAGCUCGGCGACUUCGGGCUGGCGAGGCUCGUCGACCACGGCGCUGAGCCGCAGACGACGCAGGUCGUGGCAGGCACCGUCGGGUACAUUGACCCGGAGUUCGUCAACGGCCGCAGGCCGAGCGCUGAGUCCGACGUGUACAGCUUCGGCGUCAUGCUCCUCGAGAUCGCCUGCGGCAGGCGGCCGGCGUCGAGGGGGCCAGGCCACGCCUCGGCGGCGCUGCUGGCGUCGGUCCGGGAGAUGUACUGCCGGAACCAGAUCCUUGACGCGGCGGACAGUAGGCUCGACGGCGUCUUCGACGGGCUGCAGAUGGAGCGUCUGCUCGUGACAGGGCUUUGGUGCGCGCAGCACGAUCCAGCGCGGCGGCCGUCGGUGACGCAGGCUGUCGAUGUGAUACGAUCUGAGGACGCCAGGUUGCCGGUGCUUUAA
RNAcentral lists this ribosomal RNA (900 nucleotides) under Triticum aestivum (bread wheat). RNAcentral describes it as "partial small subunit ribosomal RNA". Lineage: Eukaryota; Viridiplantae; Streptophyta; Magnoliopsida; Poales; Poaceae. The record is from RNAcentral.